Molecule: ribosomal RNA, 468 nt
Filed under: uncultured bacterium
Lineage: Bacteria
Description: partial 16S ribosomal RNA
Rfam family: Bacterial small subunit ribosomal RNA
Source: RNAcentral
GACGAACGCUGGCGGCGUGCUUAACACAUGCAAGUCGAACGGAAAGGCCCUGCUUUUGUGGGGUGCUCGAGUGGCGAACGGGUGAGUAACACGUGAGUAACCUGCCCUUGACUUUGGGAUAACUUCAGGAAACUGGGGCUAAUACCGGAUAGGAGCUCCUGCUGCAUGGUGGGGGUUGGAAAGUUUCGGCGGUUGGGGAUGGACUCGCGGCUUAUCAGCUUGUUGGUGGGGUAGUGGCUUACCAAGGCUUUGACGGGUAGCCGGCCUGAGAGGGUGACCGGCCACAGUGGGACUGAGAGACGGCCCAGACUCCUACGGGAGGCAGAAGUGGGGAAUAUUGCACAAUGGGCGGAAGCCUGAUGCAGCAACGCCGCGUGCGGGAUGACGGCCUUCGGGUUGUAAACCGCUUUCGCCUGUGACGAAGCGUGAGUGACGGUAAUGGGUAAAGAAGCACCGGCUAACUACGUG